AUCGCUUCUCGGCCUUUUGGCUAAGAUCAAGUGUAGUAAGACAUGAAUCAUGAAUUUUGAUAAACAGAAUUUUUAAAGAUCUCCU
Small nuclear RNA from Oryctolagus cuniculus (rabbit), 85 nucleotides. Its record names the gene U2. It matches the Rfam family "U2 spliceosomal RNA". From Rfam's summary of the family: U2 is a small nuclear RNA (snRNA) component of the spliceosome (involved in pre-mRNA splicing). The record is from Ensembl. Lineage: Eukaryota; Metazoa; Chordata; Mammalia; Lagomorpha; Leporidae.